UGAUCCUGGCUCAGGAUGAACGCUAGCGGCAGGCUUAACACAUGCAAGUCGAGGGGUAACAUUGUAGCUUGCUACAGAUGACGACCGGCGCACGGGUGCGUAACGCGUAUAGAAUCUGCCUUCUACAGAGGGAUAGCCUUUAGAAAUGAAGAUUAAUACCUCAUAACACUUUGGAAUGGCAUCGUUUUAAAGUUAAAGAUUUAUCGGUAGAAGAUGACUAUGCGUCCUAUUAGCUAGAUGGUAAGGUAACGGCUUACCAUGGCAACGAUAGGUAGGGGUCCUGAGAGGGAGAUCCCCCACACUGGUACUGAGACACGGACCAGACUCCUACGGGAGGCAGCAGUGAGGAAUAUUGGGCAAUGGAGGCAACUCUGACCCAGCCAUGCCGCGUGCAGGAAGACUGCCCUAUGGGUUGUAAACUGCUUUUAUACAGGAAGAAACGUACCUACGAGUAGGUAUUGACGUACUGUAAGAUAAGACCGCUAACUCCGUG
Molecule: ribosomal RNA, 493 nt
Filed under: Tenacibaculum maritimum
Lineage: Bacteria; Pseudomonadati; Bacteroidota; Flavobacteriia; Flavobacteriales; Flavobacteriaceae
Description: bacterial SSU rRNA
Rfam family: Bacterial small subunit ribosomal RNA
Source: RNAcentral